Molecule: ribosomal RNA, 231 nt
Filed under: uncultured bacterium
Lineage: Bacteria
Description: partial 16S ribosomal RNA
Rfam family: Bacterial small subunit ribosomal RNA
Source: RNAcentral
CGGACGGGUGAGUAAUGUCUGGGAAACUGCCUGAUGGAGGGGGAUAACUACUGGAAACGGUAGCUAAUACCGCAUAACGUCGCAAGACCAAAGAGGGGACCUUCGGGCCUCUUGCCAUCGGAUGUGCCCAGAUGGGAUUAUCUAGUAGGUGGGGUAACGGCUCACCUAGGCGACGAUCCCUAGCCGGUCUGAGAGGAUGACCAGCCACACUGGAACUGAGACACGGUCCAG